RNAcentral lists this ribosomal RNA (673 nucleotides) under Fragilariopsis kerguelensis. RNAcentral describes it as "partial Bacterial large subunit ribosomal RNA". It matches the Rfam family "Bacterial large subunit ribosomal RNA", at positions 214 to 943 of the family's 2925-position model. Lineage: Eukaryota; Bacillariophyta; Bacillariophyceae; Bacillariales; Bacillariaceae. The record is from RNAcentral.
AGGAAAGGACAUCAAUAUGAUACUCCCCUAGUAGCGGCGAGCGAACGGGGACCAGCCGAGCCAUGAUUGUGAAUAGAACGUGUUGGGAAGCACGGCCAUAGUGGGUGAUAGCCCCGUAUACGAAGAUGCAUUAGUCACAUAUUAAGUAGGGCGGGACACGUGUUAUCCUGUCUGAAGAUGGGGGGACCAUCCUCCAAGGCUAAAUACUCCUGACUGACCGAUAGUGAACCAGUACCGUGAGGGAAAGGCGAAAAGAACCCCUGUGAGGGGAGUGAAAUAGAACCUGAAACCGUGUACGUACAAGCAGUAGGAGCAGACUUGUUCUGUGACUGCGUACCUUUUGUAUAAUGGGUCAGCGACUUAUAUUCAGUAGCAAGGUUAACCGUUUAGGGGAGCCGUAGGGAAACCGAGUCUUAAUAGGGCGUUCAGUUGCUGGGUAUAGACCCGAAACCCGGCGAUCUAUCCAUGAGCAGGUUGAAGAUUGAGUAACAUCAAUUGGAGGACCGAACCCACUGUCUUUGAAAAGCCAGGGGAUGACUUGUGGAUCGGAGUGAAAGGCUAAUCAAGCCGGGAGAUAGCUGGUUCUCCUCGAAAUCUAUUUAGGUAGAGCGUCACGUAUUACCCACGGGGGUAGAGCACUGUUAAGGCUAGGGGGUCAUCCCGACUUACCAAC